CCUCCGGGAGGCAGCAGUGGGGAAUAUUGCACAAUGGGCGCAAGCCUGAUGCAGCCAUGCCGCGUGUAUGAAGAAGGCCUCCGGGCUGUAAAGUACUUUCAGUCGUGAGGAAGGUGUUAAGGUUAAUAACCUUAGCAAUUGACGUUAGCGACAGAAGAAGCACCGGCUAACUCCGUGCCAGCAGCCGCGGUAAUACGGAGGGUGCGAGCGUUAAUCGGAAUUACUGGGCGUAAAGGGCACGCAGGCGGUUAAUUAUGUUUUAGUGGAAAUCCCCGGUCUUAACCUGGGAAUGGCAUUCAAGACUGGUUAGCUAGAGACUUGUAGAGGGGGGGAGAAUUCCUUGUUUAGCGGUGAAAUGCGUAGUGAUGUGAGGUUAUACCUGUGGCUAAGGCGGCCCCCUGGACAAAGACUGACGCUCAUGUGCGAAAGCGUGGGGAGCACACAUGAUUAGAUGCGCGAGUAGUC
Molecule: ribosomal RNA, 465 nt
Filed under: uncultured Arsenophonus sp.
Lineage: Bacteria; Pseudomonadati; Pseudomonadota; Gammaproteobacteria; Enterobacterales; Morganellaceae
Description: bacterial SSU rRNA
Rfam family: Bacterial small subunit ribosomal RNA
Source: RNAcentral